This 58-nucleotide transfer RNA is filed under the name Ailuropoda melanoleuca (giant panda). It matches the Rfam family "tRNA", at positions 8 to 63 of the family's 71-position model. From Rfam's summary of the family: Transfer RNA (tRNA) molecules are approximately 80 nucleotides in length. Their secondary structure includes four short double-helical elements and three loops (D, anti-codon, and T loops). The record is from Rfam by way of RNAcentral. Lineage: Eukaryota; Metazoa; Chordata; Mammalia; Carnivora; Ursidae.
UGGCUCAGUUGGUAGAGCAUGCGACUCUUGAUCCCAGGGUUGUAGGUUCAAGUCCCAU